RNAcentral lists this long non-coding RNA (2246 nucleotides) under Pan troglodytes (chimpanzee). RNAcentral's name for it is "long non-coding RNA NONPTRT016754". The record is from RNAcentral. Lineage: Eukaryota; Metazoa; Chordata; Mammalia; Primates; Hominidae.
AUCUUCCAAUUUUUUAAGAUACUAAGCCUAAGGACAAGCAUAUUAAUGGGAGAAGAAUAAUUUUAAAAUUAUAUAGUAUGAUGGAUGGUUAUAAAUGCUAUGGAACAUGGAAGGGGGAUCAGGAGUACAGGGAUGGUGGAGCAGGGGCAUUAUCGUUCUAAAUAAGGUUGUGACUUAGCCAAUAACAUUUGAUAAAGGUUUGGAGGAGGUGAGAGAAGAGUUAUAGGGAUAUCUUGGGAAGAGGAUACUACGCUCAAGGAAUAGCAAGUGUAAAGGUUCUGGGGUAAAAGCAUGCCUAACAUGUUGGAGGAAUAGAAAGGAGGUUGGUGUAACUAAUGAGGAGUAAGCAAGGGAGAACAGCCAAAGGAAGUGAGGUCAGACUGAACAAUACAGAAAAUUGUAGUCAGUAGUGAGGACUUUGCCUUUUACUAAGUGAGAGUGGAAGUCAUUGGAGGAUUUUGAGUAGAGGAAUAACAUGAUUUGAUUUAUAGUUUAGAAGGACCUCUGGGUGUUUUGUUGAUGGACGCCUUAGGGAGAUCACUGAGAAGGCUAUUAUAGUAAGAAACGUGAGAAAUUUUGGUGGUUUAGAUCACCCAGAUCACAGUGACAGCAGAGGGUGGUGACAAAUGAUCAGAUUGUAGAUACACAUUGACAGUUUAACUGGUGGGGUUUGCUGAUGAUUGAGUUUAUGGUAUGAGAGAAAGAGUGAAGCCAAGGAUGACUUGAAUGUUUUUUUUGAGACCUCGUGAUCUGCCCGCCUCGGCCUCCCCAAGUGCUGGGAUUACAGGCGUGCGACAGGUGCGCCUGGCCGAAUGUUUUUAAUUUACACAACUGAAAGAUGCAUCAGUUGGUACAGCUAUGUCUUUUUCUCUGGUCAUGUUUGGUUUGUGCAAGCGGAAAUAAGAAUAUGGUGAGAGUUAGAUGUAACCAAGAUUGAUCUUUUUUUCAUGUGGGUACGAUGAGGCAAGAAAAUGUUAGGGAGUAGAGUAUAUAUGCAAAGAGCUGUCAUUUUUGUUACCGAACUGAACUUGGGUCCAUUUUUCUGGUGCAGCAAAGCUAAACAUUCACAUGAGGAUUGCAGCAAGAGAAAGUGUGACAUUUAUUGCAGAGCACCUCGCAAGGAGAAUCUGGGAGCUCAUGCUUAAAACCCAAAUUCUUGGAUGGCUUGUAGAUAAGGAGGUUUAAACGCAGGAAGGCAGAGGUUAUAGGUAAAGUCAUAAAUCAAUACAUGGAGACUAUAUAUUGGUAUGAUCUAGAAAGGUGGGACAUCUUGAAGCCAGAGCCCACAGGUCAUAAGUGGAUUAAAAGAUUUUCUGAUUUGUGAUUUGUUAAGGAAGCAAAGCUUUUUUCUAAAACGUUGAGAUUGACAGAAAAAAAUGUUAGUUCUGGCCUCUGGGUGUGACUUCCUCAGGCCCUUCAGAAGAGGCCAUUUAGAGCAAAGAAUGGCAGUCAGGGUUCAGUCAUCAGAUCCUCCUUAUCUGAGGUCUACAUGCCAACAAAUCCAUUUGGUGGGGGUCCCGGUUUCUGGAAAACAACUUAGGGAUGUAAAUUAAGAUGUUAUCUUUAGCUUUGAUAGAGGACCAAACUUCUUGUGACUCUGACUUUCUUGGCUACUGUUUUAAGCUACUGUUACUUUCUUGCUUAUCAGUACUUUCUUGCUCAUUUACUUCUCAGGACCAGCGAGGUGCCUGGAAUUUCCUUUGGAGGAACUCAAGAUUUUAUUUUAUUUUAUUUCCAUGCUUGGGAGUAGGGGUCAGGGAGUAGGCCUCUAAGAGGGAUCUCCAUUCCAUCUCAUUAUGAUAGGCUAAACAAUUUAAUUUGGAUAAUAAAAUGGUGAGGGUGUGUUGGGGAUAGUAGUGGAUGAGAUAUGGAAACUAAGUGCUCAGGAAACUACUGGGCUAGGUUAUUAGGAAGAUCAUUGAAAUCGUCAAAAUCACGAAAAGUUACAGUUAGUUUGGGAAAGAGUGAAGUCAUGAUCUGAAAUCCUCAAGGAAGGAGGGGAAUUGAGUGGCAGUUGGUAGAAGAAUAAAAUGAAGAAGGGUCAUGGGUGGCAUCUUGUUUGUUACAUGAGAAUCGAAAGAGGAGAGUGUAGGGAGAAUAGAAGGAAAUGGUCUGGAAGUGGCAAACAGAAACAACCCAUUGUUUCGAAGGCCAUGGGGGAAAAAAAAAGCCCCUUAAUAGGGCUAUAAGAAAACCAUUAUCCUCUGUGGACACAUGGGAGUAAGAUGAUGAUAGAAAUAUUCAAA